RNAcentral lists this ribosomal RNA (841 nucleotides) under Chalciporus amarellus. RNAcentral describes it as "eukaryotic LSU rRNA". The stretch from base 672 to 841 matches the Rfam family "Eukaryotic large subunit ribosomal RNA", at positions 1 to 169 of the family's 3401-position model. The record is from RNAcentral. Lineage: Eukaryota; Fungi; Basidiomycota; Agaricomycetes; Boletales; Boletaceae.
GAUUUCGUAGGUGACCUGCGGAAGGAUCAUUAUUGAACUCUGUCGAGAAAGCGUGGAGGGGGGAAGACGAGCGGACGAAGUUGGUGGGGGUUGUCGCUGGCCUUUCGGGCACGUUGCAAGGCUCGUCUAGUCUCCUUUUUCUUUCUUCUUUUGCGGGAACUCGUUCUCUCCCCCUGUGCCCCGUUGUAGGCUUCCUCGCAGGGGAGACCUAUGUCUUUCAUAAAUUCGUAGGUGUACGAAUGUCUACCUUUCAACGUCGUCCGACUUGGCCCUCGUGCCUUGUCGGCGAUGGCGAAUCGAAUCAUAAACAACUUUCAGCAACGGAUCUUUGGCCUCUGCAUCGAUGAAGAACGCAGCGAAUGGCGAUAAGUAAUGUGAAUUGCAGAUUUUCAUUGAAUCAUCGAAUCUUUGAACGCCCCUGGCGCUCCUGGGUAUUUCGAGGAGCCGGCCGGUUUGAGUGUCCUUGAAUUUUCAACCCGGUCUCGAUGGAUUUCGAGCGCCAGGCUUGGAAGUGGGGGCUGCUGGCGGCUGAGCGUUGGCUUUCCUGAAAUGCCUUAGCAGAGGCGAGCCUUUCGUGCCCGGCCUUGAUGUGAUAAUGAUUGUCUGGGCUGGAGCGAGGAGCCUGAGUUGUCGCUGCUUCUAGUUUGAUCCUUGCGAUCACUUUUGAAACUUGACCUCAAAUCAGGUAGGACUACCCGCUGAACUUAAGCAUAUCAAUAAGCGGAGGAAAAGAAACUAACAAGGAUUCCCCUAGUAACUGCGAGUGAAGCGGGAAGAGCUCAAAAUUUUGAUCUGGCGGUCUUUGGCCGUCCGAGUGUAAUCUAGACGAAUGUCGCUGACU